This 410-nucleotide ribosomal RNA is filed under the name uncultured microorganism. RNAcentral's name for it is "bacterial SSU rRNA". It matches the Rfam family "Bacterial small subunit ribosomal RNA", at positions 509 to 917 of the family's 1533-position model. The record is from RNAcentral.
CAGCAGCCGCGGUAAUACGUAGGGUGCGAGCGUUAAUCGGAUUUACUGGGCGUAAAGCGUGCGCAGGCGGCCCGUUAAGACAGGUGUGAAAUCCCUGGGCUCGACCUAGGAAUUGCGCUUGUGACUGGCGGGCUCGAGUACGGUAGAGGGGGGUGGAAUUCCUGGUGUAGCAGUGAAAUGCGUAGAGAUCAGGAGGAACACCGAUGGCGAAGGCAGCCCCCUGGGCCUGUACUGACGCUCAUGCACGAAAGCGUGGGGAGCAAACAGGAUUAGAUACCCUGGUAGUCCACGCCCUAAACGAUGGGUACUAGCCGUUUGGUGCGCGAUAGCGCUGAGUGGCGAAGCUAACGCGUGAAGUACCCCGCCUGGGGAGUACGGCCGCAAGGUUGAAACUUAAAGGAAUUGGCGGG